RNAcentral lists this ribosomal RNA (497 nucleotides) under uncultured bacterium. Its description in RNAcentral is "partial 16S ribosomal RNA". It matches the Rfam family "Bacterial small subunit ribosomal RNA", at positions 28 to 507 of the family's 1533-position model. The record is from RNAcentral.
GAUGAACGCUGGCGGCGUGCCUAAUACAUGCAAGUCGAGCGAACAGACGAGGAGCUUGCUCCUUUGAUGUUAGCGGCGGACGGGUGAGUAACACGUAGGUAACCUACCUAUAAGACUGGGAUAACUUCGGGAAACCGGAGCUAAUACCGGAUAAUAUUUCGAACCGCAUGGUUCGAUAGUGAAAGAUGGCUUUGCUAUCACUUAUAGAUGGACCUGCGCCGUAUUAGCUAGUUGGUAAGGUAACGGCUUACCAAGGCAACGAUACGUAGCCGACCUGAGAGGGUGAUCGGCCACACUGGAACUGAGACACGGUCCAGACUCCUACGGGAGGCAGCAGUAGGGAAUCUUCCGCAAUGGGCGAAAGCCUGACGGAGCAACGCCGCGUGAGUAAUGAAGGUCUUCGGAUCGUAAAACUCUGUUAUUAGGGAAGAACAAACGUGUAAGUAACUGUGCACGUCUUGACGGUACCUAAUCAGAAAGCCACGGCUAACUACGUG